GUAGACAGAGGCUUAAGACUAUGCAGCAGUGUGCCUAGGUGGCCAAGAAGGCCAGUGGCAUCCUGGCCUCUAUCAGCAACAGUGUGGCCCACAGGACCAGGGCAGUCAUCGUUCCCUUGUACUCA
Long non-coding RNA from Empidonax traillii (willow flycatcher), 125 nucleotides. RefSeq lists it as uncharacterized. The record is from RefSeq and is a predicted model, not a curated record. The transcript is spliced from 3 exons. Lineage: Eukaryota; Metazoa; Chordata; Aves; Passeriformes; Tyrannidae.